RNAcentral lists this unclassified non-coding RNA (116 nucleotides) under uncultured Trichosporon. RNAcentral's name for it is "sequence contains ITS1". Lineage: Eukaryota; Fungi; Basidiomycota; Tremellomycetes. The record is from RNAcentral.
GUGAUUGCCCUAGUGGCUUAAACUAUAUCCAUAUACACCUGUGAACCGUUUGAUUGACACUCUGUGUCGAUUUUACAAACAAUGUGUAAUGAACGUCUAGUUAUUAUAACAAAAAA